This 253-nucleotide ribosomal RNA is filed under the name uncultured bacterium. Its description in RNAcentral is "partial 16S ribosomal RNA". It matches the Rfam family "Bacterial small subunit ribosomal RNA", at positions 524 to 776 of the family's 1533-position model. The record is from RNAcentral.
UACGGAGGUUGCAAGCGUUGUUCGGAAUCAUUGGGCGUAAAGCGCGUGUAGGCGGCUUGGCAAGUCGGGUGUGAAAUCCCGGGGCCCAACCCCGGAACUGCAUUCGAAACUGCCUCGCUAGAGUCCCGGAGAGGAAGGCGGAAUUCCCGGUGUAGAGGUGAAAUUCGUAGAUAUCGGGAGGAACACAAGCGGCGAAGGCGGCCUUCUGGACGGUGACUGACGCUGAGACGCGAAAGCGUGGGGAGCAAACAGG